RNAcentral lists this ribosomal RNA (432 nucleotides) under uncultured bacterium. RNAcentral describes it as "partial 16S ribosomal RNA". It matches the Rfam family "Bacterial small subunit ribosomal RNA", at positions 29 to 507 of the family's 1533-position model. The record is from RNAcentral.
ACGCACGCUGGCGGCAGGCCUAACACAUGCAAGUCGCGCGAGGACUUCGGUCCUAGCGGCGGACGGGUGAGUAACGCGUGGGAACGUGCCCUUUGCUUCGGAAUAGCCCUGGGAAACUGGGAGUAAUACCGGAUGAGCCCUUUGGGGGAAAGAUUUAUCGGCGAAGGAUCGGCCCGCGUUGGGUUAGGUAGUUGGUGGGGUAAUGGCCUACCAAGCCGACGAUCCAUAGCUGGUUUGAGAGGAUGAUCAGCCACACUGGGACUGAGACACGGCCCAGACUCCUACGGGAGGCAGCAGUGGGGAAUCUUAGACAAUGGGGGAAACCCUGAUCUAGCCAUGCCGCGUGAGCGAUGAAGGCCUUAGGGUUGUAAAGCUCUUUCAGCUGGGAAGAUAAUGACGGUACCAGCAGAAGAAGCCCCGGCUAACUCCGUG